GGCUGGUCAAAGUACAGUGGUGUUUAUAACUAAUUGAUCACAACCACUUAUGGAUUUCUUUGUUUCUUCUCCACUCCCAAUGCCUCACUUGACUAGCCUUUU
Unclassified non-coding RNA from Aotus nancymaae (Ma's night monkey), 102 nucleotides. It matches the Rfam family "Y RNA". Rfam says of the family: Y RNAs are components of the Ro ribonucleoprotein particle (Ro RNP), in association with Ro60 and La proteins. The Y RNAs and Ro60 and La proteins are well conserved, but the function of the Ro RNP is not known. NCBI's taxonomy places the organism in Eukaryota, Metazoa, Chordata, Mammalia, Primates, Aotidae. The record is from Ensembl.